UGAGAGCCAUCUUCUGACAGAACAUCUCCCC
Molecule: non-coding RNA, 31 nt
Filed under: Rattus norvegicus (Norway rat)
Lineage: Eukaryota; Metazoa; Chordata; Mammalia; Rodentia; Muridae
Source: RNAcentral